This 374-nucleotide long non-coding RNA is filed under the name Monodelphis domestica (gray short-tailed opossum). Its description in RNAcentral is "lncRNA (ENSMODG00000037813.1)". Lineage: Eukaryota; Metazoa; Chordata; Mammalia; Didelphimorphia; Didelphidae. The record is from RNAcentral.
CUUCCAUAAGGAAAGGCAUGGGGGAAAGUUCUAUAAGGGAAUUCCAUCAAGAGACGAUGAAGCCCCCACCAGUGGUUAGCACCUAGUGAGCAGCUGUCUGGAAAAGACUUCACCUACUACCUGGAAAUUCCAGAGACACCUCAAUGGAUUGAUGCUUCUAAGAGUAAUAUCCUCUUCUACCAGUCAGAAAUUGUGAAUCACAGCCCCUUUAGCUCUGUUACUAAUCCAGAACUUUAUCUGGCUACAUACUAGAAGGCAGGACUACCAUUGCACGUGGCAAAAGGACUGCCUUCUCUUACUCAAUUCUGAGUGACGGAUGCAUAACAGCACAGACUUUUGAAAUGUUGGAAAUAAAGAGAUUUCUGUGCCAUAAU